RNAcentral lists this ribosomal RNA (439 nucleotides) under uncultured bacterium. Its description in RNAcentral is "partial 16S ribosomal RNA". It matches the Rfam family "Bacterial small subunit ribosomal RNA", at positions 338 to 795 of the family's 1533-position model. The record is from RNAcentral.
CCUACGGGUGGCAGCAGUGGGGAAUAUUGCACAAUGGGGGAAACCCUGAUGCAGCGACGCCGCGUGAGUGAAGAAGUAUUUCGGAUUGUAAAGCUCUAUCAGCAGGGAAGAAAAUGACGGUACCUGAUUAAGAAGCCCCGGCUAACUACGUGCCAGCAGCCGCGGUAAUACGUAGGGAGCGAGCGUUGUCCGGAUUUACUGGGUGUAAAGGGAGCGUAGGCGGGACGGCAAGUCGGGGGUAAAAUCUACGGGCUCAACCGGUAGCCGCACUUGAAACUGCAGUUCUUGAGUGAAGUAGAGGCAGGCGGAAUUCCUAGUGUAGCGGUGAAAUGCGUAGAUAUUAGGAGGAACACCAGUGGCGAAGGCGGCCUGCUGGGCUUUUACUGACGCUGAGGCUCGAAAGUGUGGGGAGCAAACAGGAUUAGAUACCCCAGUAGUC